This 69-nucleotide transfer RNA is filed under the name Ovis aries (sheep). It matches the Rfam family "tRNA". From Rfam's summary of the family: Transfer RNA (tRNA) molecules are approximately 80 nucleotides in length. Their secondary structure includes four short double-helical elements and three loops (D, anti-codon, and T loops). Further hydrogen bonds mediate the characteristic L-shaped molecular structure. tRNAs have two regions of fundamental functional importance: the anti-codon, which is responsible for specific mRNA codon recognition, and the 3' end, to which the tRNAs corresponding amino acid is attached (by aminoacyl-tRNA synthetases). tRNAs cope with the degeneracy of the genetic code in two manners: having more than one tRNA (with a specific anti-codon) for a particular amino acid; and 'wobble' base-pairing, i.e. permitting non-standard base-pairing at the 3rd anti-codon position. The record is from Rfam by way of RNAcentral. Lineage: Eukaryota; Metazoa; Chordata; Mammalia; Artiodactyla; Bovidae.
CCUGGUGGCUCAGAUGGUAAAGCGUCUGCCUACAAUGCAGGAGACCCGGGUUCAGUCCCUGGGUCAGGA